GGGUUGUGAGGUUAAGCGACUAAGCGUACACGGUGGAUGCCCUGGCAGUCAGAGGCGAUGAAGGACGUGCUAAUCUGCGAAAAGCGUCGGUAAGGUGAUAUGAACCGUUAUAACCGGCGAUGUCCGAAUGGGGAAACCCAGUGCAAUUCGUUGCACUAUCGUUAACUGAAUACAUAGGUUAACGAGGCGAACCGGGGGAACUGAAACAUCUAAGUACCCCGAGGAAAAGAAAUCAACCGAGAUUCCCCCAGUAGCGGCGAGCGAACGGGGAGCAGCCCAGAGUCUGAAUCAGCUUGUGUGUUAGUGGAACGGUCUGGAAAGUCCGACGGUACAGGGUGAUAGUCCCGUACACCAAAAUGCACAGGCUGUGAACUCGAAGAGUAGGGCGGGACACGUGGUAUCCUGUCUGAAUAUGGGGGGACCAUCCUCCAAGGCUAAAUACUCCUGACUGACCGAUAGUGAACCAGUACCGUGAGGGAAAGGCGAAAAGAACCCCGGCGAGGGGAGUGAAAAAGAACCUGAAACCGUGUACGUACAAGCAGUGGGAGCACCUUCGGGUGUGACUGCGUACCUUUUGUAUAAUGGGUCAGCGACUUAUAUUCUGUAGCAAGGUUAACCGUAUAGGGGAGCCGCAGGGAAACCGAGUCUUAACUGGGCGUUAAGUUGCAGGGUAUAGACCCGAAACCCGGUGAUCUAGCCAUGGGCAGGUUGAAGGUUGGGUAACACUAACUGGAGGACCGAACCGACUAAUGUUGAAAAAUUAGCGGAUGACUUGUGGCUGGGGGUGAAAGGCCAAUCAAACCGGGAGAUAGCUGGUUCUCCCCGAAAGCUAUUUAGGUAGCGCCUCGUGAACUCAUCUUCGGGGGUAGAGCACUGUUUCGGCUAGGGGGUCAUCCCGACUUACCAACCCGAUGCAAACUACGAAUACCGAAGAAUGUUAUCACGGGAGACACACGGCGGGUGCUAACGUCCGUCGUGAAGAGGGAAACAACCCAGACCGCCAGCUAAGGUCCCAAAGUCAUGGUUAAGUGGGAAACGAUGUGGGAAGGCACAGACAGCCAGGAUGUUGGCUUAGAAGCAGCCAUCAUUUAAAGAAAGCGUAAUAGCUCACUGGUCGAGUCGGCCUGCGCGGAAGAUGUAACGGGGCUAAACCAUGCACCGAAGCUGCGGCAGCGACACUAUGUGUUGUUGGGUAGGGGAGCGUUCUGUAAGCCUGCGAAGGUGUGCUGUGAGGCAUGCUGGAGGUAUCAGAAGUGCGAAUGCUGACAUAAGUAACGAUAAAGCGGGUGAAAAGCCCGCUCGCCGGAAGACCAAGGGUUCCUGUCCAACGUUAAUCGGGGCAGGGUGAGUCGACCCCUAAGGCGAGGCCGAAAGGCGUAGUCGAUGGGAAACAGGUUAAUAUUCCUGUACUUGGUGUUACUGCGAAGGGGGGACGGAGAAGGCUAUGUUAGCCGGGCGACGGUUGUCCCGGUUUAAGCAUGUAGGCUGGUUAUCCAGGCAAAUCCGGAUAAUCAAGGCUGAGGUGUGAUGACGAGGCACUACGGUGCUGAAGUAACAAAUGCCCUGCUUCCAGGAAAAGCCUCUAAGCAUCAGGUAACAUCAAAUCGUACCCCAAACCGACACAGGUGGUCAGGUAGAGAAUACCAAGGCGCUUGAGAGAACUCGGGUGAAGGAACUAGGCAAAAUGGUGCCGUAACUUCGGGAGAAGGCACGCUGGUGUGUAGGUGAAGCCCCUGCGGGUGGAGCUGAGACCAGUCGAAGAUACCAGCUGGCUGCAACUGUUUAUUAAAAACACAGCACUGUGCAAACACGAAAGUGGACGUAUACGGUGUGACGCCUGCCCGGUGCCGGAAGGUUAAUUGAUGGGGUUAUCCGUAAGGAGAAGCUCUUGAUCGAAGCCCCGGUAAACGGCGGCCGUAACUAUAACGGUCCUAAGGUAGCGAAAUUCCUUGUCGGGUAAGUUCCGACCUGCACGAAUGGCGUAAUGAUGGCCAGGCUGUCUCCACCCGAGACUCAGUGAAAUUGAACUCGCUGUGAAGAUGCAGUGUACCCGCGGCAAGACGGAAAGACCCCGUGAACCUUUACUAUAGCUUGACACUGAACAUUGAGCCUUGAUGUGUAGGAUAGGUGGGAGGCUUUGAAGCGUGGACGCCAGUCUGCGUGGAGCCAACCUUGAAAUACCACCCUUUAAUGUUUGAUGUUCUAACGUUGGCCCCUUAUCGGGGUUGCGGACAGUGUCUGGUGGGUAGUUUGACUGGGGCGGUCUCCUCCCAAAGCGUAACGGAGGAGCACGAAGGUUAGCUAAUCCUGGUCGGACAUCAGGAGGUUAGUGCAAUGGCAUAAGCUAGCUUGACUGCGAGCGUGACGGCGCGAGCAGGUGCGAAAGCAGGUCAUAGUGAUCCGGUGGUUCUGAAUGGAAGGGCCAUCGCUCAACGGAUAAAAGGUACUCCGGGGAUAACAGGCUGAUACCGCCCAAGAGUUCAUAUCGACGGCGGUGUUUGGCACCUCGAUGUCGGCUCAUCACAUCCUGGGGCUGAAGUAGGUCCCAAGGGUAUGGCUGUUCGCCAUUUAAAGUGGUACGCGAGCUGGGUUUAGAACGUCGUGAGACAGUUCGGUCCCUAUCUGCCGUGGGCGCUGGAGAAUUGAGGGGGGCUGCUCCUAGUACGAGAGGACCGGAGUGGACGCAUCACUGGUGUUCGGGUUGUCAUGCCAAUGGCACUGCCCGGUAGCUAAAUGCGGAAGAGAUAAGUGCUGAAAGCAUCUAAGCACGAAACUUGCCCCGAGAUGAGUUCUCCCUGAGACUUUAAGUCUCCUGAAGGAACGUUAAAGACGAUGACGUUGAUAGGCCGGGUGUGUAAGCGCAGCGAUGCGUUGAGCUAACCGGUACUAAUGAACCGUGAGGCUUAACCUUACAACGCCGAAG
This 2923-nucleotide ribosomal RNA is filed under the name Klebsiella pneumoniae. Its description in RNAcentral is "bacterial LSU rRNA". It matches the Rfam family "Bacterial large subunit ribosomal RNA". Lineage: Bacteria; Pseudomonadati; Pseudomonadota; Gammaproteobacteria; Enterobacterales; Enterobacteriaceae. The record is from RNAcentral.